RNAcentral lists this unclassified non-coding RNA (292 nucleotides) under Melitaea cinxia (Glanville fritillary). RNAcentral's name for it is "misc RNA ENSMCXG00005018938.1". Lineage: Eukaryota; Metazoa; Arthropoda; Insecta; Lepidoptera; Nymphalidae. The record is from RNAcentral.
GAGAUUACCCUCAUCAGUCAUCAAGAUCAAAAUCGAAUGAUGGUAUUUAAUUUGUCUGAAAGGAAAUUAAUUAACCACAGAAUGGAUAUUCGGAGAUGACGCUUUGUAAUAGACCACCAUAAACACGGUAUUAUUAAAUCAAUUCAUUAAUUUACAACAUCCGGAUUGUACUAGCGUGUUUCAUUUUAAUGAAAAAUUCUUACUGAUUUUAUUGCUGCGUUUUUUUGCUGUAAUCUUUGAUUUAUUACUUGGAAUCAAUUAGAGUUAUGGUACUUAUAGUUUAUAAUUAUUU